GAGAAGGAGGUGGUGGAGGCAUAUGAGGUGCAGGAGGAGGAGGACUCCAAGAAACUCUCUGAGAUAUCUGAGAGUCCGGAACUGCCUCGGAAGAUGAUGGACCGGAAGAAGAUGUCCCGACACCAUCAUGAAACAUCUGAGAGUAAGUAGGUGCAGCUGGCUUUCUUCUAGGACCCAUCUAAUUUUUUUAAAAAAAAUUACAGUUAGUUUUAUGAUUAACGACAUAAUUUAAAAAUAUUAUUCCGAUACCUAACUAAUCACCUAAACUAAUUACCUAUACUAACCACUUAAACUA
This 295-nucleotide long non-coding RNA is filed under the name Brassica napus (rape). Its description in RNAcentral is "long non-coding RNA (BNAP_LNC023879)". Lineage: Eukaryota; Viridiplantae; Streptophyta; Magnoliopsida; Brassicales; Brassicaceae. The record is from RNAcentral.